Lathyrus oleraceus (garden pea) is the source of this 699-nucleotide long non-coding RNA. RefSeq lists it as uncharacterized. Lineage: Eukaryota; Viridiplantae; Streptophyta; Magnoliopsida; Fabales; Fabaceae. The record is from RefSeq and is a predicted model, not a curated record. The transcript has 2 exons.
AACAGCACCAAGCCACAAAUGGCAACAACCACGCAACCAAGUCAAAACAUGAUGCAUAAUCAAGUUCCAAACUCUCAGGUCCCACAACAGUAACACAACCAAGACAUCAAACGCGUUCACCAUCAAGCUCCAAAAGCUUCAUCGCGCAGCUUCAUCGUUUUUCAUCUCCACGGACGAACUCCACGCGACAACAAGGAGAAGAAUCAAGGCUCCGACAUCAAUUUCCUUUGAAAUCAACAUCAAAAUCCAACCAUAAUUCAUCACUUGUGCAUGCGCGAAAUUGAAAAGAACGAAAUCAAAAUCGAAGCGAUAACUCACCGAAUUGGAGCAUUGAUGCAAACAGGGCUAUGUCAAUUGGAGUUUAGCUUGUGAACUUGUUGCUUGCGUAUUGAAUGGUUUGCAGGUUGAAAUUGGAAGGCGGUUGGAUGCUUUUGGAACAUUGUUGAUCAAAUGUUAUGCUACUGAAUUUUACAUUGUGUGUUGAUUGAAAUGUAAUUUGUAGUUUUGGAUUUGUAGUGAAUUGUAGCUUGAAUGGAAAUGUUGUAAAUUGAAAUUGUCACAUGGAAUUUGGAUUGAAGGUUGUAAUGUGAUUUUGGAAGGGUGAAUGUAAUCUUUUUGUAAUUUUGGAAUUGAAACAUGGUUUGUGGUUGUAAUUUGAAUAUUGUAAUGAAAUGGAUGUUGUGAAGGUUAUUGAGUGAA